Molecule: small RNA, 1550 nt
Filed under: Pongo abelii (Sumatran orangutan)
Lineage: Eukaryota; Metazoa; Chordata; Mammalia; Primates; Hominidae
Description: retained intron
Source: RNAcentral
AUUUUUAGUAGAAACAGGGUUUCACCAUCUUGACCAGGCUGGUCGGUAGCACAAAAGAAAGGAGGGGCCCUUGGCCCAAGAUAUGAGGAAUCAAGUUUGACAGGAUGAUUGCCAGAUCUUUUUUUUUUUUUUUUUUUUUUGAGACGGAGUCUUGCUCUGUCGCCCAGGCUGGAGUGCAGUGGCGCAAUUCGGCUUACUGCAACCUCCAUCUCCCGGGUUCAAGCAAUUCUGCCUCAGCCACCCAAGUAGCUGGGAUUACAGGCACUCGCCACCAUGCCUGGCUAAUUUAUAAAUUUUUAGUAGAGGCAGGGUUUCACCAUGUUGGCCAGGCUGGUCUCAAAUGCCUGACCUCAAGUGAUCCACCCGCCUCGGCCUCCCAAGUUGCCGGGAUUACAGGCGCAAGCCAUGAUGCCCAGCCCUAUUUUAUUUGUAAAGGAAAACUGGAAUCUUUUUCUGUCCAGGGUUACAGCAGGAGAAAUGUAAUGGGCCAGCAAGGCUGCUCUCAGGAGAGGCCUUCCUCCCCUGUGGAGGGGGAGACAUCCUCACGGGGACUCAAUUCAGAAUGUAACAGGAAAAAGCGAGUGACUCCAAAGACAGCCACAGGUGUGGAGUCUGAAAUCAAAAUCACAGAUAUUCCACUCCUCUUUGUGUCUUCCAGCCCCAUAAUGUCACCCCAUUAUAGCCCAAGACCCUUCCUGUACCAGGAGGCCCCCCAUAGGCUCUCAUCCCCCAAACCAGCCUGCAAGGUGUGUAUUAAACUGAUGGUGACGUUGUGACUGCUUGUCCAGAUGGGCCCGAGUGAAAUGGGGCACUACUGAUAGUUCCCUGGUGGUCCUAGGAACACUGGGGUGUAUGGUCACCCUAACUAUUGUGCUGGAUUGAUAGAUAGGAUUGGUCACUUGCCCCAGGCCAAUGGCUGGUACGCGGCAGAGCUGAGAUAUUCACUGUGUUCUGGCUGUUUCCACCGUACCCCAUUGUUCCCAGCCCUCUGUUUUCUUUCCACCCCACUUCCCAUGACUUGCUUCCCCUUUGAGACGUGGUGCUAGUAAAUCUUAGAUUCCCUUGGCCUGUACUGCCUGCCUCUGUUACAAAUGCCUUAGAGUUUGGAGAAGAGAUGGAAAGAUCUAUACAACAUAAAGCCAGAGAAUUUUAACUUUUUUUUUUUUUUUGAGAUGGAGUCUCGCUCUGUUACCUAGGCUGGAGUGCAGUGGUGCUAUCUCGGCUCGCUGUAUCCUCUGCCUCCUGGGUUCAAGCAAUUCUCUACCUCAGCCUCCCAAGUAGCUGGGAUCACAGGCGCCCGCCACCAUGUCUGGCUAAUUUCUUUGUAUUUUUAGUAGAGACGGGGUUUCACCAUCUUGGCCAGGCUGGUCUUGAAUCCCUGACCUUGUGAUCCACCCACCUUGGCCUCCCAAAGUGCUGGGAUUACAGGUGUGAACCACCGCACCUGGCCUGAGAAUUUUAACUUUUUAUUGCUCUAAAGUUGCCAUUAGUUUGACCAACUAACCAAUGAAUGAGCUGUAGUGGGUUGCUGAAGAGGUGAUGCUUAGUGU